RNAcentral lists this ribosomal RNA (366 nucleotides) under uncultured eukaryote. RNAcentral's name for it is "partial 18S ribosomal RNA". It matches the Rfam family "Eukaryotic small subunit ribosomal RNA", at positions 592 to 976 of the family's 1831-position model. The record is from RNAcentral.
CAGAAGCGUGUAUUAAAGUUGUUGCAGUUAAAAAGCUCGUAGUUGAAGUAUUGGUAGGUUGGAUCGGCUCUUGCGGUGAAUGCCGCUUGUUAUGUCUGUGUCCGGCUGGCCAUCAUUUCACUGUUGUAAGAUGGUGAAUCAUUUACUGUAAAAAAAUUAGAGUGUUUCAAGCAAAAGGUUGUAUUUGGAAUAUAGUAGUAUGGAAUAAUAAGAUAGGACUUUGGUACUAUUUUGUUGGUUUGUAUACCGAAGUAAUGAUUAACAGGGACAGUUGGGGGUAUUCGUAUUUGGUUGUCAGAGGUGAAAUUCUUGGAUUUACAAAAGACGAACUACUGCGAAAGCAUUUACCAAGGAUGUUUUCAUUAA